This is a transfer RNA of Loxodonta africana (African savanna elephant), 71 nucleotides long. It matches the Rfam family "tRNA". From Rfam's summary of the family: Transfer RNA (tRNA) molecules are approximately 80 nucleotides in length. Their secondary structure includes four short double-helical elements and three loops (D, anti-codon, and T loops). The record is from Rfam. Lineage: Eukaryota; Metazoa; Chordata; Mammalia; Proboscidea; Elephantidae.
GCUGUGGUGGUGCAGUGGUAGAAUUCUCACCUUCCAUGCAGGAGAUCCAGGUUCAAUUCCCGGCCAAUGCA